RNAcentral lists this ribosomal RNA (459 nucleotides) under uncultured bacterium. RNAcentral describes it as "partial 16S ribosomal RNA". It matches the Rfam family "Bacterial small subunit ribosomal RNA", at positions 338 to 795 of the family's 1533-position model. The record is from RNAcentral.
CCUACGGGAGGCAGCAGUGAGGAAUAUUGGUCAAUGGGCGCGAGCCUGAACCAGCCAAGUCGCGUGAGGGAAGAAGGUCCUAUGGAUUGUAAACCUCUUUUGUCGGGGAGCAAAAGACGCCACGCGUGGCGUUCCGAGAGUACCCGAAGAAAAAGCAUCGGCUAACUCCGUGCCCGCAGCCGCGGUAAUACGGAGGAUGCGCGCGUUAUCCGGAUUUAUUGGGUUUAAAGGGGGCGCAGGCGGAAGAUCAAGGUAGCGGUAAAAUUGAGAGGCUCAACCUCUUCGAGCCGUUGAAACUGGUUUUCUUGAGUGAGCGAGAAGUAUGCGGAAUGCGUGGUGUAGCGGUGAAAUGCAUAGAUAUCACGCAGAACUCCGAUUGCGAAGGCAGCAUACCGGCGCUCAACUGACGCUCAUGCACGAAAGUGUGGGUAUCGAACAGGAUUAGAUACCCCUGUAGUC